RNAcentral lists this ribosomal RNA (353 nucleotides) under uncultured bacterium. RNAcentral describes it as "bacterial SSU rRNA". It matches the Rfam family "Bacterial small subunit ribosomal RNA", at positions 9 to 353 of the family's 1533-position model. The record is from RNAcentral.
GAGUUUUGAUCAUGGCUCAGGAUGAACGCUAGCGGCGUGCUUAACACAUGCAAGUCGAACGAAGAUGCCGGAGUGCUUGCACUUUGGCAGACUGAGUGGCGGACGGGUGAGUAACGCGUGGGUAACCUGCCUUAUACAGGGGGAUAACAGUUGGAAACGACUGCUAAUACCGCAUAAGCGCACGGUAUCGCAUGAUACAGUGUGAAAAACUCCGGUGGUAUAAGAUGGACCCGCGUCUGAUUAGCUUGUUGGUGAGGUAACGGCCCACCAAGGCGACGAUCAGUAGCCGGCCUGAGAGGGUGAACGGCCACAUUGGGACUGAGACACGGCCCAAACUCCUACGGGAGGCAGCA